UGGGGAAUUUUGGACAAUUGGGCGAAAGCCUGAUCCAGCAAUGCCGCGUGUGUGAAGAAGGCCUUCGGGUUGUAAAGCACUUUUGUCCGGAAAGAAAUCCUUGGCUCUAAUACAGUCGGGGGAUGACGGUACCGGAAGAAUAAGCACCGGCUAACUACGUGCCAGCAGCCGCGGUAAUACGUAGGGUGCAAGCGUUAAUCGGAAUUACUGGGCGUAAAGCGUGCGCAGGCGGUUUGCUAAGACCGAUGUGAAAUCCCCGGGCUCAACCUGGGAACUGCAUUGGUGACUGGCAGGCUAGAGUAUGGCAGAGGGGGGUAGAAUUCCACGUGUAGCAGUGAAAUGCGUAGAGAUGUGGAGGAAUACCGAUGGCGAAGGCAGCCCCCUGGGCAAGUACUGACGCUCAUGCACGAAAGCGUGGGGAGCAAACNGGAUUAAUNCCCUGGUAGUCCACGCCCUAAANGAUGUCAACUAGUUGUUGGGGAUUCAUUUCCUAGUAACGUAGCUAACGCGUGAGUUGACCGCCUGGGGAGUACGGUCGCAAGAUUAAAACUUCAAAUGAAUUGACGGGGGU
Molecule: ribosomal RNA, 571 nt
Filed under: uncultured bacterium
Lineage: Bacteria
Description: partial 16S ribosomal RNA
Rfam family: Bacterial small subunit ribosomal RNA
Source: RNAcentral